CGCCUCCUGACAAUAAUAGGAGGUCCAGCCUGCCCAGUGACACUAGUUCAACGGCCGCGGUAUCCUGACCGUGCGAAGGUAGCGUAAUCACUUGUCUUUUAAAUUAAGACUGGUAUGAAAGGCACCACGAGAAUUAAGCUGUCUCCUUUUUCUAAUCUGUAAAACUAAUCUCCCCGUGAAGAAGCGGGGAUUUUUAUAUAAGACGAGAAGACCCUAUGGAGCUUCAGACAAAUAACACUGCUUUUCCCCUUUCUCUUAGAGAACACUUACUACAGCAUCUCAAUUAUUUAGUCUUUGGUUGGGGCGACCAUGGGGUAAAAAUUACCCCCCAUGAUGAAAGAACCUCCUAGAUAUGAGCCACAGCUCUAUAAAUCAAUAAAUUGACAUAUUUGACCCAAUUACUUGAUCAACGAAACAAGUUACCCUAGGGAUAACAGCGCAAUCCACUUCAAGAGCCCUUAUCAACAAGUGGGUUUACGACCUCGAUGUUGGAUCAGGGUAUCCCAGUGGUGCAACCGCUACAAAGGGUUUGUUUGUUCAACAAUUAAAACCCU
Molecule: ribosomal RNA, 554 nt
Filed under: Ischnocnema parva
Lineage: Eukaryota; Metazoa; Chordata; Amphibia; Anura; Brachycephalidae
Description: partial large subunit ribosomal RNA
Rfam family: Bacterial large subunit ribosomal RNA
Source: RNAcentral